Molecule: RNA transcript, 1003 nt
Organism: Vigna radiata var. radiata (mung bean)
Lineage: Eukaryota; Viridiplantae; Streptophyta; Magnoliopsida; Fabales; Fabaceae
Exons: 3
Source: RefSeq, a predicted model, not a curated record
CACUCACCGAAGAGAAGCCACCGCCUUCUUCACCGCCACCAUUCCUAUUCUAGCUAAAAUUCUCCAUUGUUCUCGUUCUCUCACUCUCUCUCUGUCUAUCUCUCUCGCAUACACACACAAAACACGGCGCUAUCUUCAGUGGAACAACGUUGCAUCAAUUUCAAAGAAGUAAAACCACACUGAAACAAUGGCUGGUGGUCGAUUCCGCGAACUGAUGAAGAAAUAUGGCAAAGUGGCUCUCGGCGUUCACCUGAGCGUUUCCACAGUUUCCAUCGCCAGUCUAUACGUUGCCAUAAAGAACAACGUCGACGUCGAAGCCAUCCUCGAGAAGUUCCACAUGGGUGCCGUCUCCGACCAGAAAAAUCCUAACUCUACCGACGAAGACGUCUCUCAACCUUCUAAGAACCGGACGGCGCAGCUCGCCGCCUCCGCCGGUGGAGCCUUCACGCUUGCUAUCCUCUGCAACAAGGCGCUUUUCCCCGUGCGCGUUCCCAUAACCGUCGCGCUCACUCCCCCAAUCGCAAGGUUCCUGGCGCGGAGGAACAUCGUCAAGAGCGGUGUGUGACCUAGAUUCGCAUAUCCAAUCCUUGGGUGAAUGUGGAGUUUAUCAGGGUGACCUUUAGGUGAUUGAAAUUGAGAUACGUCAAAUGGUGUAUACAGUAUAUCUAUGGUGCAAUUGUUCCUUGUUAACAAAACCUUGGUAUGAUGGUUUCAUGAAAAGCUGAUUUGCCAAAUCUCUGAACUAUUUUGAUUGACUGAAAAUAUGCUAUGGUCUCCAUCUUCUGUUGGAUCAUAUUCUCAGAUGACAACUCACCUCUGUAACACACAUAAAACAAACACUUCAUCUCAUCAACACGAGCCAAUUGUUUAACUUCCUUGGGCAGAAAAUUGUUUAAUAUUAUGUCAUAUUAGGGCCUUAGGAGCCAUAUUUUUGGGUUUGGGGGCGGGUUGUGAAGGACUUAGCUAAAGCAUUCAGCACAAGUUUGAGUUGAUUUUAUUUUUC